Molecule: ribosomal RNA, 533 nt
Filed under: uncultured bacterium
Lineage: Bacteria
Description: partial 16S ribosomal RNA
Rfam family: Bacterial small subunit ribosomal RNA
Source: RNAcentral
UGGGGAAUAUUGCACAAUGGGCGAGAGCCUGAUGCAGCAACGCCGCGUGAGUGAUGAAGGUCUUCGGAUUGUAAAGCUCUGUCUUUUGGGACGAUAAUGACGGUACCAAAGGAGGAAGCCACGGCUAACUACGUGCCAGCAGCCGCGGUAAUACGUAGGUGGCGAGCGUUGUCCGGAUUUACUGGGCGUAAAGGGUGCGUAGGCGGAUGUUUAAGUGAGAUGUGAAAUACCCGGGCUUAACUUGGGUGCUGCAUUUCAAACUGGAUAUCUAGAGUGCAGGAGAGGAGAAUGGAAUUCCUAGUGUAGCGGUGAAAUGCGUAGAGAUUAGGAAGAACACCAGUGGCGAAGGCGAUUCUCUGGACUGUAACUGACGCUGAGGCACGAAAGCGUGGGUAGCAAACAGGAUUAGAUACCCUGGUAGUCCACGCCGUAAACGAUGAGUACUAGGUGUAGGAGGUAUCGACCCCUUCUGUGCCGCAGUAAACACAUUAAGUACUCCGCCUGGGAAGUACGAUCGCAAGAUUAAAAACUCU